AGAGUUUGAUUCUGGCUCAGGAUGAACGCUGGCGGCGUGCUUAACACAUGCAAGUCGAACGGGGGUGCCAUGAACGAAGCAUCAGUUUACUGAUAUGGAGGGAAUGGGACCCUAGUGGCGGACGGGUGAGUAACGCGUGGGUAACCUGCCCCAUACCGGGGGAUAACACUUAGAAAUAGGUGCUAAUACCGCAUAAGCGCACGGUACUGCAUGGUACAGUGUGAAAAACUCCGGUGGUAUGGGAUGGACCCGCGUCUGAUUAGCUUGUUGGCGGGGUAACGGCCCACCAAGGCGACGAUCAGUAGCCGGCCUGAGAGGGUGGACGGCCACAUUGGGACUGAGACACGGCCCAAACUCCUACGGGAGGCAGCAGUGGGGAAUAUUGCACAAUGGGGGAAACCCUGAUGCAGCGACGCCGCGUGAGUGAAGAAGUAUUUCGGUAUGUAAAGCUCUGUCAGCAGGGAAGAAAAUGACGGUACCUGACCAAGAAGCCCCGGCUAACUACGUGCCAGCAGCCGCGGUAAUACG
RNAcentral lists this ribosomal RNA (528 nucleotides) under uncultured bacterium. Its description in RNAcentral is "bacterial SSU rRNA". It matches the Rfam family "Bacterial small subunit ribosomal RNA", at positions 8 to 527 of the family's 1533-position model. The record is from RNAcentral.